Molecule: ribosomal RNA, 492 nt
Filed under: uncultured bacterium
Lineage: Bacteria
Description: partial 16S ribosomal RNA
Rfam family: Bacterial small subunit ribosomal RNA
Source: RNAcentral
AGUGAACGCUGGCGGUAGGCCUAACACAUGCAAGUCGAACGGCAGCACAGUAAGAGCUUGCUCUUACGGGUGGCGAGUGGCGGACGGGUGAGGAAUACAUCGGAAUCUACUUUUUCGUGGGGGAUAACGUAGGGAAACUUACGCUAAUACCGCAUACGACCUACGGGUGAAAGCAGGGGAUCUUCGGACCUUGCGCGAUUGAAUGAGCCGAUGUCGGAUUAGCUAGUUGGCGGGGUAAAGGCCCACCAAGGCGACGAUCCGUAGCUGGUCUGAGAGGAUGAUCAGCCACACUGGAACUGAGACACGGCCCAGACUCCUACGGGAGGCAGCAGUGGGGAAUAUUGGACAAUGGGCGCAAGCCUGAUCCAGCCAUACCGCGUGGGUGAAGAAGGCCUUCGGGUUGUAAAGCCCUUUUGUUGGGAAAGAAAAGCAGCAGGUUAAUACCCCGCUGUUCUGACGGUACCCAAAGAAUAAGCGCCGGCUAACUUCGUG